RNAcentral lists this transfer RNA (72 nucleotides) under Actinomadura chibensis. It matches the Rfam family "tRNA". From Rfam's summary of the family: Transfer RNA (tRNA) molecules are approximately 80 nucleotides in length. Their secondary structure includes four short double-helical elements and three loops (D, anti-codon, and T loops). The record is from Rfam by way of RNAcentral. Lineage: Bacteria; Bacillati; Actinomycetota; Actinomycetes; Streptosporangiales; Thermomonosporaceae. RNAcentral also lists the same sequence under 1 other name.
GCCCCCUUAGCUCAGGGGAUAGAGCAACGGCCUCCGGAGCCGUGCGCGCAGGUUCGAAUCCUGCAGGGGGCG